GGGGUCGUAGUUCAGUUGGUUAGAAUGCCGGCCUGUCACGCCGGAGGUCGCGAGUUCGAGCCUCGUCGGCCCCG
RNAcentral lists this transfer RNA (74 nucleotides) under Desulfobulbus propionicus DSM 2032. It matches the Rfam family "tRNA". Rfam says of the family: Transfer RNA (tRNA) molecules are approximately 80 nucleotides in length. Their secondary structure includes four short double-helical elements and three loops (D, anti-codon, and T loops). Further hydrogen bonds mediate the characteristic L-shaped molecular structure. tRNAs have two regions of fundamental functional importance: the anti-codon, which is responsible for specific mRNA codon recognition, and the 3' end, to which the tRNAs corresponding amino acid is attached (by aminoacyl-tRNA synthetases). tRNAs cope with the degeneracy of the genetic code in two manners: having more than one tRNA (with a specific anti-codon) for a particular amino acid; and 'wobble' base-pairing, i.e. permitting non-standard base-pairing at the 3rd anti-codon position. Lineage: Bacteria; Pseudomonadati; Thermodesulfobacteriota; Desulfobulbia; Desulfobulbales; Desulfobulbaceae. The record is from Rfam by way of RNAcentral.